UACAGAGGGCUCAAGCGUUAAUCGGUGUCACUGGGCUUAAAGGGUGCGUAGGCGGGUCUGCAAGUGCUUUGUGAAAUCCCACGGCUCAACCGUGGAAUGGCUUGGCAUACUGCAGGUCUUGAGGUUGGUAGGGGCUGUCGGAACUCUAGGUGUAGCGGUGAAAUGCGUAGAUAUCUAGAGGAACACCAAAGGUGAAGACAGGCAGCUGGGCCAAUCCUGACGCUGAGGCACGAAAGCGUGGGUAGCGAACGGG
Molecule: ribosomal RNA, 253 nt
Filed under: uncultured bacterium
Lineage: Bacteria
Description: partial 16S ribosomal RNA
Rfam family: Bacterial small subunit ribosomal RNA
Source: RNAcentral